GGGCCUUUAGCUCAGUUGGUUAGAGCAACCGGCUCAUAACCGGUCGGUCCGGGGUUAGAGUCCCUGACGGCCCA
RNAcentral lists this transfer RNA (74 nucleotides) under Clostridiales bacterium. Its description in RNAcentral is "tRNA-Ile". It matches the Rfam family "tRNA". Rfam says of the family: Transfer RNA (tRNA) molecules are approximately 80 nucleotides in length. Lineage: Bacteria; Bacillati; Bacillota; Clostridia; Eubacteriales. The record is from RNAcentral.